Nicotiana tabacum (common tobacco) is the source of this 333-nucleotide long non-coding RNA. RefSeq lists it as uncharacterized. Lineage: Eukaryota; Viridiplantae; Streptophyta; Magnoliopsida; Solanales; Solanaceae. The record is from RefSeq and is a predicted model, not a curated record.
CACUACCACCUCAAAAUACCUACAUCAAUGGAUAGAGCUCCUCAAGACCUAGCUAUUGAUGUCAAUUCUACCCCAAAAAUCCGGCGACCAAAAUCCGGCCUAAUUCUGGCGACCUCCUGGAACACCCUCUUUGGCAUACCACCAUUUUUCGGCCUUUUGAUGUGUAAAAUGAUGUUUUCACAUUAACAAGAAGAUUUGAACUCAUCUUGAUUGUUGGGAGCAUGUCCAUUUACAUAAAUGAGUGCUUAGCUAAAUUUCUUUAUUGUUUAAAUAUAUCUUGUUGUAGUUCAUAUGUAAAAUAAAUCCUUGGUUGAUCAAACACUUUUUUAUUCA